AGUAUUGUAAACGGGAAUACUCAUAUAAUCGCAAGAAUAAGGCUUGCGAGUUUCUACCAGAUACCUUAAAUAUCUGACUAUGAGAAUGGACUUUUAAAGG
Regulatory RNA element from Clostridium baratii str. Sullivan, 100 nucleotides. It matches the Rfam family "Purine riboswitch aptamer". From Rfam's summary of the family: Riboswitches are metabolite binding domains within certain messenger RNAs that serve as precision sensors for their corresponding targets. Allosteric rearrangement of mRNA structure is mediated by ligand binding, and this results in modulation of gene expression. The record is from Rfam. Lineage: Bacteria; Bacillati; Bacillota; Clostridia; Eubacteriales; Clostridiaceae.